This 367-nucleotide ribosomal RNA is filed under the name uncultured organism. Its description in RNAcentral is "bacterial LSU rRNA". It matches the Rfam family "Bacterial large subunit ribosomal RNA", at positions 2099 to 2465 of the family's 2925-position model. The record is from RNAcentral.
CUUUACUGUAACUUGAAAUUGAAAUUGGACUUUAUUCGCGCAGUAUAGGUGGGAGGCGUUGAUUAUAAUCUUGCGGGAUUAUUGGAGCCAUCAGUGAGAUACCACUCUUGUAAUGUUAGAUUUCUAACUUUGAAUCAUGAUCUGGUCAAAGAACAGUUUCAGGCGGGCAGUUUGACUGGGGCGGUCGCCUCCUAAACGGUAACGGAGGCGUACAAAGGUUUCCUCUGAACGGGUAGAAAUCGUAUCUAGAGUGUAAAGGCAUAAGGAAGCUUGACUGUGAGACCUACAAGUCGAGCAGGGACGAAAGUCGGUCUUAGUGAUCUGACGGUACUGAGUGGAAAGGCCGUCACUCAACGGAUAAAAGUUA